AGAUGAUUUAUCAUGUUCUGGGCCGUCGCCAAUGAUAGAAGGCUUCCUAUUAGCCAUUCCUGCCUUGGAAAAUGGACAGCGGUCUACCAAAAUCGGUCCCUUUAACUGUAGAGCAAGAGUGAUACUUAUUUCUGAUGGCAAAGCUACUUCCUCGACCGACUCAGACUCAGAAUAUCGUGUUUCUGAAAAUGAAGAAGAUCAGAAUAUUCAACUUUUGGAUUUAGUAGGCAAGUAGGAAUAACAAAUCCAAUUACGUGCGUACCUGUCGGAAAUGAUCCAAAUAUUGUAUGUUUAUGCUCGGUUUUACAACGCAU
Long non-coding RNA from Saccostrea cuccullata (small rock oyster), 314 nucleotides. RefSeq lists it as uncharacterized. The record is from RefSeq and is a predicted model, not a curated record. Lineage: Eukaryota; Metazoa; Mollusca; Bivalvia; Ostreida; Ostreidae. The transcript has 3 exons.